Vicia villosa (hairy vetch) is the source of this 1077-nucleotide long non-coding RNA. RefSeq lists it as uncharacterized. The transcript is spliced from 3 exons. The record is from RefSeq and is a predicted model, not a curated record. Lineage: Eukaryota; Viridiplantae; Streptophyta; Magnoliopsida; Fabales; Fabaceae.
CUAAAAAGUCUCUCUCUCUCUCUCUCUCUCUCUCUCUCUCUCUCUCUCUCUCUCAUCCUUCUUUCACAUUGUCUCUUCUUCCUCUCCUCAAUUUCAACACUUUGAAAACUCAGUAAACUUGGUUGAAAGUGUGAACUGGAUAGAGACCUCGUCGAGAGAGACAUACCGUUCGCAUGUAGCGUAAGUUAAAUGUGUUUGAAGCAUACUAAGGUUGUUAGGAAUCGUGAUAAUUAGGGUAUCCAGGUGUCGUGAAGACUUGCAAGAUGUGAAUGUCUUUGGAAAUCGAAAUCAUCAAGACUCAAUGUCAUAAUGAGUCAUUUGUACUAAGUCAUCCUUGACUUGGAAUUCAAGAUCAGCUUAGGGGUUGUUGUUGAAGUCAUUGUGUACUCUUCCUUACUGUUUUCUCUGUAACUUGUAUUAUGGUAAACCUUGUUUAUUUAUUUGUUAAAAUAAAGAUUGUCAUUAUAUUCUUUUAGACAGUAUGUUUGAUUUGUGUUCUUAAACCUUUAUUUGAGAAAAUAAUUUAUAAAAGAUGUAUUGUAUUAUGAUCAUUGUCUUACUAAACUUUACUCUGAUUUAUUUUAAAGAUGAGCAUAGAUGUUUUAUUCCAAAGAUAUUUUUUGUUUUAAAAGAAAAAAUACACUCUCGUUGUUAAAAAUUGGGGUGUUACAAUAUGCAAUUAUGAAAAAGGUAAAAAUGGAUUGGAUAAUUUGCUAAAUAGUCAAAAAUAUGUUAAUAAUAAAAGUGGAUUACUAUAUUCUAAAUUUGAAAAUUCUAGUCAAAUUUAAAAGACUAUCUCUAUUAAAUCUAGCAGUGAUGAUAACUAUAUUCAUAGAAAAUUAUAGCAUAAUGUGUAUUCUAAAAAGACAUAUAACAAGAAAUAUUUAUAUUAUAAUAAAAAAAUGCCUAACAUGACAUAUACUUGUUUUUAUUGCAAUUAUAAACAUCAUAAUUCUAAUGCAUAUUAUAUUAGAAAUAUUGGUGUACUUGGUGGCAGUUAUGUAUGGGUUGAGAAAAGAACUAACUUAAAAGGAUCCAAAGAAAAUUGGGAACCUAGAAAUAACUAUUAAUUCUCUU